This 431-nucleotide ribosomal RNA is filed under the name Clostridioides difficile. RNAcentral describes it as "partial 23S ribosomal RNA". It matches the Rfam family "Bacterial large subunit ribosomal RNA", at positions 1246 to 1675 of the family's 2925-position model. The record is from RNAcentral. Lineage: Bacteria; Bacillati; Bacillota; Clostridia; Peptostreptococcales; Peptostreptococcaceae.
CGGGUUGAAGCAUGACCGUAAGGACAUGUGGACAGUAUGGGAGUGAGAAUGUUGGCAUGAGUAGCGAGAUGUGGGUGAGAAUCCCACAGGCCGUAAACCCAAGGUUUCCAGGGGAAGGUUCGUCCGCCCUGGGGUAGUCGGGACCUAAGCUGAGGCCGAAAGGCGUAGGUGAUGGACAACAGGUUGAUAUUCCUGUACUACCGAUAACCGUUUGAGAGAUGGGAUGACACAGUAGGAUAAGCUAAGCACACUGUUGGUUAUGUGUGCCCAAGCAUUGAGGCAGUCAGAGUAGGUAAAUCCGCUUUGAUAAUGCUGGGAUGUGAUGGGGAGCGAAAUUUAGUAGCGAAGUAGCUGAUUUCACACUGUCAAGAAAAGUCUCUAUCGAGGUUAAAGGUACCCGUACCGCAAACCGACACAGGUGGGUGAGGAGA